This 896-nucleotide unclassified non-coding RNA is filed under the name Hevea brasiliensis (rubber tree). Lineage: Eukaryota; Viridiplantae; Streptophyta; Magnoliopsida; Malpighiales; Euphorbiaceae. The record is from RNAcentral.
CCACCAUUCAUCUUCCCCACAUCACUCUCUUCGACCUUAAUCUCGCACUGAUUCUGAUUUUGAUUAUUUGUUUUCAGCCACGCCAAUCCAAAAUCGGCAAUCUUUGCCGAAAAACACUGAUCCAGCAAAAUAUUACUGGGCUUUAUAUCGCCAUGAAUAACAGGCGGAUCCAAACAAUGAAGAUACUCGAUCCCUUUAGCUAUAUCAAUCGCAAUGCUAAACCUUUUACUCCACUGCAACAAUUCGGGGCACUUCCUGUGGAGAAGGGCAUCCUGUAAGUUGCCGUUAGGCAUGAGCUCAUAUAUAAGCAACAUCGUCGGAUGUUUCCGAUCGGAGGAGAAGCCAAGGGCCGNNNNNNNNUCAAGUUUCGAGGCAAAAAGAAUCUCGUUUUGGAACUCACGCUCGCCCUGCAGAGAGCCCGAGUCCAUGACUUUCACGGCGAUCAGUUGUCCAUUUGGGAGGGUGCCACGAAAUACGGAACCAAACCCACCUUGGCCCAGGCGAAGGGAAGGGGAGAAGGAAUCGGUGGCGCGGCGUAGGGUAGAGUAAGAGAAGCGGUGAGGUGGCUUAGAAUCAGAAGGGACAGUGCGCUUGCGGCUGAUUUUACAGAAGCAGACAGCGAAAAGUAGUAGGCAGGAGAAGGCGGCUGUGGCAGCGGUGAGAGGGGGAAGGAGACGGGAAGAGAGAAGACGGUGAUGAUGUGGGAAUUGGGUGGGAGAAGGUGUAGCUAUAGGAGGGGAAGUGACAAAUGGGAGAAAUAACGGUGGAGGAAUCGGACGGGAUGGCAUGGUGGGAAAGGUGUAGAGACUAGAAAGGAGAGAAGGGGUGGAAGCAAAGCUUCAUGUUCGUGGUUGUUCUAGCAUCUGUGGCGUGAUGGGUUCUUACCUGUUAUUGUU